RNAcentral lists this ribosomal RNA (326 nucleotides) under uncultured Isochrysis. RNAcentral describes it as "partial Bacterial small subunit ribosomal RNA". It matches the Rfam family "Bacterial small subunit ribosomal RNA", at positions 11 to 366 of the family's 1533-position model. Lineage: Eukaryota; Haptophyta; Isochrysidales. The record is from RNAcentral.
GUUUGAUCCUGGCUCAGGACGAACGCUGGCGGCGUGCUUAACACAUGCAAGUCGAACGGAGUAGAAAUACUUAGUGGCGGACGGGUGAGUAACGCGUGAGAAUCUGCCUUCAGGACGGAGACAACAGUUGGAAACGACUGCUAAGCCCCGAUGUACCGAAAGGGAAAAUAUUUAUAGCCUGAAGAUGAGCUCGCGUCCGAUUAGCUAGUUGGCGGAGUAAAAGCCCACCAAGGCGACGAUCGGUAGCUGGUCUGAGAGGACGAUCAGCCACACUGGGACUGAGACACGGCCCAGACUCCUCCUGGAGGCAGCAGUGAGGAAUUUUC